This 700-nucleotide long non-coding RNA is filed under the name Cricetulus griseus (Chinese hamster). Its description in RNAcentral is "lncRNA (ENSCGRG00015033858.1)". Lineage: Eukaryota; Metazoa; Chordata; Mammalia; Rodentia; Cricetidae. The record is from RNAcentral.
AUCACCACCAUCACCAUCAUCAUCAUCACCAUCAUCACCAUCACCAUCACCACCAUCAUCACCAUCACCAUCACCAUCACCAUCACCAUCACCACCAUCACCAUCAUCACCAUCAUCACCACCAUCACCAUCAUCAUCACCAUCAUCACCAUCACCACCAUCACCAUCAUCACCAUCACCAUCAUCACCAUCACCACCAUCACCACCAUCACCACCAUCACCAUCACCAUCAUCACCAUCACCAUCAUCACCAUCAUCAUCAUCACCAUCACCACCAUCAUCAUCACCAUCACCACCAUCACCAUCACCACCAUCAUCAUCAUCAUCACCAUCACCAUCAUCACCAUCACCACCAUCAUCAUCAUCAUCAUCACCAUCACCACCAUCACCAUCACCUUCCUUUCCUGAGAGAGAUCCAGGGCACAGAGCGUUUUGGAAUCUUGCCAAUGACCAGCAGCCAUCUCUCAGCAUCCUUGGAGGAUCAGUUCCAGUUCACUCUGAGAUACCCAGUCCCCGGGUCCUGGGGAUCCUUGCGUGAAACGGCGCACUGCGGCACACUGUGGCACACUGUGGCACACUGCGGCACACUGCGGCACACUGCGGAGCACUGCGGCACACUGCGGAGCACUGCGGCACUGCGGCACACUGCGGAGCACUGCGGAGCACUGCGGCACACUGCGGCGCACUGCGGCGCACUGAG